RNAcentral lists this ribosomal RNA (492 nucleotides) under uncultured bacterium. RNAcentral's name for it is "partial 16S ribosomal RNA". It matches the Rfam family "Bacterial small subunit ribosomal RNA", at positions 29 to 507 of the family's 1533-position model. The record is from RNAcentral.
AGUGAACGCUGGCGGUAGGCCUAACACAUGCAAGUCGAACGGCAGCACAGUAAGAGCUUGCUCUUACGGGUGGCGAGUGGCGGACGGGUGAGGAAUACAUCGGAUUCUACUUUUUCGUGGGGGAUAACGUAGGGAAACUUACGCUAAUACCGCAUACGACCUACGGGUGAAAGCAGGGGAUCUUCGGACCUUGCGCGAUUGAAUGAGCCGAUGUCGGAUUAGCUAGUUGGCGGGGUAAAGGCCCACCAAGGCGACGAUCCGUAGCUGGUCUGAGAGGAUGAUCAGCCACACUGGAACUGAGGCACGGUCCAGACUCCUACGGGAGGCAGCAGUGGGGAAUAUUGGACAAUGGGCGCAAGCCUGAUCCAGCCAUACCGCGUGGGUGAAGAAGGCCUUCGGGUUGUAAAGCCCUUUUGUUGGGAAAGAAAAGCAGCAGGUUAAUACCCCGCUGUUCUGACGGUACCCAAAGAAUAAGCACCGGCUAACUUCGUG